UCUAACGUGGCAGAUAAGUGCGGUGGAUUUAAGCUCCACGUAUAAAGCAUUCUAAAGCUUUCCUUAGAA
Molecule: transfer RNA, 69 nt
Filed under: Schedorhinotermes lamanianus
Lineage: Eukaryota; Metazoa; Arthropoda; Insecta; Blattodea; Rhinotermitidae
Description: tRNA-Leu
Source: RNAcentral